UGAAUACCAACGUUGACAAUAGCGUUAAAAUGCUUUAUUUUUUGUUAAUCAAAAUGAAUCCUACAUUUGCUUAAAGCAUUAAACAGAGUACAGAAGUGGCUGAUUGCAUUGGCUUAGGUUUUGCAGGUAAUUGUUCACAGUAAAGAAAAGUAAAUAUGUGCAUUGAAAUCUAGCACUAUUGAGGAUUCCAAAGUCCAAAGUUUGCACGUGUCGUCAAAAGGGACCAAGCAAGAAAGUUGGAAACCAAUUUCAUAUAUUUCAAGCAGUUUUCCGAAAAUCACAUCAUUGUUGCAUCUUCUUGCCAGCUGUGUGCUCUACAGAUAGCACCAUCUUGUAGUUAAAUAAAAAUACACCUGUACAUUAGAAUAAACCAAAAGUUAGUUUGUUGUUAAUCAAAUUUAAAUUGUAACAAAAUUCCAAUAAUAAGAGGCUGUUGGACCAGAAUGCAGUUUGUCUGUUUGAGGGAAACACCAAAUCAACAUAGGUAGUAAUGACAUUGAUCACAAGGGGGAGCAUUGAUGCGCGAGGGGAUAUUGGUGAGUGCAUGGUGAUGGGAAACAGGUGUGUGUGUGUGUGUGUGUGUGUGUGUGUGUGUGUGAAGCCAAUCGUUUUUUGUCUUGACCUGAACUGGCACAGACCGAUAUGAAAUAAUAGUAAUGAAGGCGACAAGGAAACUGUAAUGAAUGGGAUCAAUGGAUCGAAAACAAACUGCUUGGAAAAAAAUUAAAGGAAUUGCACGUCUGAUAACAGGUGCACUAGCGGGGCAACAAUGAGACAACCCCCAAAACAGGACUGGUUUUGCAUGUGGAGCCAAAUUCAAGUUUCUCCCUCUUGAUCUCUCUGGUUCAAAAAACAUGGCACUUCUGUCCUGACAGCCAGGAAUACACUUUUGAGGCUUCAUUUUUAGGUUGGAUGAUGGCACGGUUGUGCUGAUUGGAUUAAUGUGGCUAUGGAAUCCCAGAGUUCUUUGGCCUCAGGAGACCAACAGUCACACAACCUCUGCCAAAAGCCCCAUAGG
Molecule: long non-coding RNA, 1018 nt
Organism: Gasterosteus aculeatus aculeatus (three-spined stickleback)
Lineage: Eukaryota; Metazoa; Chordata; Actinopteri; Perciformes; Gasterosteidae
Source: Ensembl